GCCAUCUAGGGCAUCCCCUAUAAAUAGGGGACUAGGAGUCGUCACAUGGGAUGAAGGGAUGCCAACUUUUGGCGCUCCAACUUCCCAUGCACCAAAUAAAUUCAUCAAGAAAAUUUUUGGUGAUUUUGAUUCUUGGAGUAGUACUCUUCCUUCUCUAUGUGUCAUAAAAAUUCUAUUAAUUUUUGACAUCAAAAUAUAGGAUUUCCUAUUUAUCUUUUAAGACUAUGCAUUUAAUAAAGAGCCUUCUUUAAGAAGGACUCUUUAUUUCUCAGACUGAUUUGAGGUAGGCGGCAAUUAUAUUUUUCAUGGAUUUUGAUGAACAUGGAGGAGUUCUUCUGCACUUAAAAUUGGUCUAAGUUGGAUAAAGAUCCAAUCCAAAUUGACCCAAUCUCAUUAAGUCAAAGCCAACUGGUCUAGGUUAGCUCAAAUACUUUGAACCAAACCAAUUUGGAAACUUGGGUUAAUACAAUAUGCUAGAAUAUCAAAUUAACCCAUAGAGUUUAUAUU
This 507-nucleotide long non-coding RNA is filed under the name Elaeis guineensis (African oil palm). RNAcentral describes it as "long non-coding RNA (EGUI_LNC082516)". Lineage: Eukaryota; Viridiplantae; Streptophyta; Magnoliopsida; Arecales; Arecaceae. The record is from RNAcentral.